This 396-nucleotide ribosomal RNA is filed under the name uncultured bacterium. Its description in RNAcentral is "bacterial SSU rRNA". It matches the Rfam family "Bacterial small subunit ribosomal RNA", at positions 29 to 416 of the family's 1533-position model. The record is from RNAcentral.
AAUGAACGCUGGCGGCGCGCCUAAUACAUGCAAGUCGAGCGAGAAGACGUAGCAAUACGUUUGUAAAGCGGCGAACGGGUGAGGAAUACAUGGGUAACCUACCCUCGAGUGGGGAAUAACUAGCCGAAAGGUUAGCUAAUACCGCGUACGCUCCUUGGACUUCGGUUCAGGGAGGAAAGCGAUACCGUGGGUAUCGCGCUCUUGGUUGGGCUCAUGUCCUAUCAGCUUGUUGGUGAGGUAACGGCUCACCAAGGCUUCGACGGGUAGCUGGUCUGAGAGGACGAUCAGCCACACUGGCACUGCGACACGGGCCAGACUCCUACGGGAGGCAGCAGUAAGGAAUAUUGCGCAAUGGGCAAAGCCUGACGCAGCGACGCCGCGUGGGGGAUGAAAGUC